This 631-nucleotide ribosomal RNA is filed under the name Pucciniastrum agrimoniae. Its description in RNAcentral is "partial 28S ribosomal RNA". It matches the Rfam family "Eukaryotic large subunit ribosomal RNA", at positions 46 to 654 of the family's 3401-position model. The record is from RNAcentral. Lineage: Eukaryota; Fungi; Basidiomycota; Pucciniomycetes; Pucciniales; Pucciniastraceae.
AAAAGCGGAGGAAAAGAAACUAACAAGGAUUCCCCUAGUAACGGCGAGUGAAGAGGGAAAAGCCCAAAUUUGUAAUCUGGCUCUUUUAGAGUCCGAGUUGUAAUUUUGAGAACUGUUUUCCGUGCUGGACCAUGUACAAGUCUGUUGAAAAACAGCAUCAUUGAGGGUGAAAAUCCCGUACAUGAUAUGGACUACCAGUGCAAUGUGAUACAGUCUCUAAGAGUCGAGUUGUUUGGGAAUGCAGCUCAAAGUGGGUGGUAAAUUCCAUCUAAGGCUAAAUAUAGGUGAGAGACCGAUAGCAAACAAGUACCGUGAGGGAAAGAUGAAAAGAACUUUGGAAAGAGAGUUAACAGUACGUGAAAUUGUUAAAAGGGAAACAUUUGAAGUUAGACUUGUUAUUGUUGGUUCAGCUUUCUUUUUUGAAGGUGUAUUCCAAUGGUUAACAGACCAGCAUCAAUUUUUGRGUGUUAGAUAAGGGUCUUGAGAAUGUAGCAAUUUCGGUUGUGUUAUAGCUCUUGACUUUGAUAUAAUGCUUAGGAUUGAGGAACGCAGUGAGCUUUUUAUUAAGUGGAUGCCUUUGGGGAUCUUCUCACUACGGAUGUUGGUGUAAUAGCUUUUAAAUGACCCGUCU